GUGUCAGCCGCCGCGGUAAAACGUAGGUCCCGAGCGUUGUUCGGAUUCACUGGGUGUAAAGGGCGCGUAGGCGGCCUUUUAAGUCAGAUGUGAAAGACCACGGCUUAACCGUGGGGUUGCAUUUGAAACUGGGAGGCUUGAGUGUCGGAGAGGGCAGUGGAAUUCCCGGUGUAGCGGUAAAAUGCGUAGAUAUCGGGAGGAACACCGGUGGCGAAGGCGGCUCUCUGGGCCGAUCCUGACGCUGAGGCGCGAAAGCCAGGGGCGCGAACCGGAUUAGAUACCCGGGUAGUCCUGGCCGUAAACGAUGGGUGCUAGGUGUUGGGGGGUAAAGACCCUUCAGUGCCGAAGCUAACGCGAUAAGCAUCCCACCUGGGGAGUACGGCCGCAAGGUUGAAACUCAAAGGAAUUGACGG
Molecule: ribosomal RNA, 413 nt
Filed under: uncultured bacterium
Lineage: Bacteria
Description: bacterial SSU rRNA
Rfam family: Bacterial small subunit ribosomal RNA
Source: RNAcentral